AGUGAACGCUGGCGGUAGGCCUAACACAUGCAAGUCGAACGGCAGCACAGUAAGAGCUUGCUCUUACGGGUGGCGAGUGGCGGGCGGGUGAGGAAUACAUCGGAAUCUACUUUUUCGUGGGGGAUAACGUAGGGAAACUUACGCUAAUACCGCAUACGACCUACGGGUGAAAGCAGGGGAUCUUCGGACCUUGCGCGAUUGAAUGAGCCGAUGUCGGAUUAGCUAGUUGGCGGGGUAAAGGCCCACCAAGGCGACGAUCCGUAGCUGGUCUGAGAGGAUGAUCAGCCACACUGGAACUGAGACACGGUCCAGACUCCUACGGGAGGCAGCAGUGGGGAAUAUUGGACAAUGGGCGCAAGCCUGAUCCAGCCAUACCGCGUGGGUGAAGAAGGCCUUCGGGUUGUAAAGCCCUUUCGUUGGGAAAGAAAAGCAGCAGGUUAAUACCCCGCUGUUCUGACGGUACCCAAAGAAUAAGCACCGGCUAACUUCGUG
This 492-nucleotide ribosomal RNA is filed under the name uncultured bacterium. RNAcentral describes it as "partial 16S ribosomal RNA". It matches the Rfam family "Bacterial small subunit ribosomal RNA", at positions 29 to 507 of the family's 1533-position model. The record is from RNAcentral.